Molecule: long non-coding RNA, 1214 nt
Organism: Oncorhynchus keta (chum salmon)
Lineage: Eukaryota; Metazoa; Chordata; Actinopteri; Salmoniformes; Salmonidae
Exons: 4
Source: RefSeq, a predicted model, not a curated record
CACACACAGGUCAUACACACAUACUCUACACACAGGUCAUACACACAUACUCUAUACACAGGUCAUACACACAUACUCUAUACACAGGUCAUACACACACACAGGUCAUACUAACAUACUCUACACACAGGUCAUACUAACAUACUCUAUACACAGGUCAUACUAACAUACUCUAUACACAGGUCAUACACACAUACUCUAUACACAGGUCAUACUAACAUACUCUAUACACAGGUCAUACACACAUACUCUAUACACAGGUCAUACUAACAUACUCUAUACACAGGUCAUACACACAUACUCUAUACACAGGUCAUACUAACAUACUCUAUACACAGGUCAUACACACAUACUCUAUACACAGGUCAUACUAACAUACUCUAUACACAGGUCAUACACACAUACUCUAUACACAGGUCAUACUAACAUACUCUAUACACAGGUCAUACUAACAUACUCUAUACACAGGUCAUACACACAUACUCUAUACACAGGUCAUACUAACAUACUCUAUACACAGGUCAUACACACAUACUCUACACACAGGUCAUACACACAUACUCUAUACACAGGUCAUACUAACAUACUCUAUACACAGGUCAUACACACAUACUCUAUACACAGGUCAUACACACAUACUCUAUACACAGGUCAUACUAACAUACUCUAUACACAGGUCAUACACACAUACUCUAUACACAGGUCAUACACACAUACUCUAUACACAGGUCAUACACACAUACUCUAUACACAGGUCAUACACACAUACUCUAUACACAGGUCAUACACACAUACUCUAUACACAGGUCAUACACACAUACUCUAUACACAGGUCAUACACACAUACUCUAUACACAGGUCAUACACACAUACUCUAUACACAGGUCAUACUAACAUACUCUAUACACAGGUCAUACUAACAUACUCUAUACACAGGUCAUACUAACAUACUCUACACACAGGUCAUACACACAUACUCUAUACACAGGUCAUACUAACAUACUCUAUACACAGGUCAUACUAACAUACUCUAUACACAGGUCAUACUAACAUACUCUAUACACAGGUCAUACUAACAUACUCUAUACACAGGUCAUACACACAUACUCUAUACACAGGUCAUACUAACAUACUCUAUACACAGGUCAUACACACAUACUCUAUACACAGGUCAUACUAACAUACUCUAUACACAGGUCAUACACACAUACUCU